AGUGAACGCUGGCGGCGUGCUUAACACAUGCAAGUCGAACGAAGGAAGCAAUUCCUUAGUGGCAAACGGGUGCGUAAUGUAUAGGAAUCUGCCUUAUAGUGGGGGACAACAGUUGGAAACGACUGCUAAUACCGCAUAAUAUCAGAAAUGAGAAAGUCGCAAGACGCUAUUUGAUGAGCCUAUAUCUGAUUAGCUUGUUGGUAGGGUAAUGGCCUACCAAGGCGAUGAUCAGUAGCUGGUCUGAGAGGACGAUCGGCCACACUGGGACUGAGAUACGGCCCAGACUCCUACGGGAGGCAGCAGUGGGGAAUAUUGGGCAAUGGGCGAAAGCCUGACCCAGCAACGCCGCGUGGUGGAUGAAGGCCUUAGGGUUGUAAACACCUUUUAUUGGGGAAGAUAGUGACGGUACCCAAUGAAUAAGCAUCGGCUAACUUCGUGCCAGCAGCCGCGGUAAUACGAAGGAUGCUAGCGUUACUCGGAAUUACUGGGCGUAAAGCAUAUGUAGGCGGGUCAUUAAGUUGAUGGUGUAAUCCCCGAGCUCAACUCGGGAAUUGCUGUCAAAACUGAUGGCCUUGAAUAUGGUAGAGAGUAAGGGAAUUCUUGGUGUAGGGGUUAAAUCCGUAGAUAUCAGGAGGAAGACCAGAAGCGAAAGCGCUUACUUGGGCCAUUAUUGACGCUGAGAUAUGAAAGCGUGGGGAGCGAACAGG
RNAcentral lists this ribosomal RNA (707 nucleotides) under uncultured bacterium. RNAcentral's name for it is "bacterial SSU rRNA". It matches the Rfam family "Bacterial small subunit ribosomal RNA", at positions 28 to 776 of the family's 1533-position model. The record is from RNAcentral.